AAUUAAAAAAAGACCGAAUACGAUUCCUAUAUUCGGUCCAGGGAAAUGGCUCUUGUGAGAGCCGUGCGCUAAAAGUUGGCAUUAAUGCAGGCGGUGUCGCCUUGCCCUUUAAAGAGUAGACAAACUAAGGGGGAAUUCCAGCCG
This 144-nucleotide small RNA is filed under the name Winslowiella iniecta. The record is from RNAcentral. Lineage: Bacteria; Pseudomonadati; Pseudomonadota; Gammaproteobacteria; Enterobacterales; Erwiniaceae.